RNAcentral lists this ribosomal RNA (433 nucleotides) under uncultured bacterium. RNAcentral's name for it is "partial 16S ribosomal RNA". It matches the Rfam family "Bacterial small subunit ribosomal RNA", at positions 29 to 507 of the family's 1533-position model. The record is from RNAcentral.
AACGAACGCUGGCGGCAUGCCUAACACAUGCAAGUCGAACGAGACCUUCGGGUCUAGUGGCGCACGGGUGCGUAACGCGUGGGAACCUGCCCUUAGGUUCGGAAUAACUCCCCGAAAGGGGUGCUAAUACCGGAUAAUGUCUUCGGACCAAAGAUUUAUCGCCUUUGGAUGGGCCCGCGUUGGAUUAGCUAGUUGGUAGGGUAAAAGCCUACCAAGGCGACGAUCCAUAGCUGGUCUGAGAGGAUGAUCAGCCACACUGGGACUGAGACACGGCCGAGACUCCUACGGGAGGCAGCAGUGGGGAAUAUUGGAAAAUGGGCGAAGGCCUGAUCCAGCAAUGCCGCGUGAGUGAUGAAGGCAUUAGGGUUGUAAAGCGCUUUUACCCGGGAUGAUAAUGACAGUACCGGGAGAAUAAGCACCGGCUAACUCCGUG